UACGGGGGGGGCAAGCGUUGUUCGGAAUUAUUGGGCGUAAAGAGCUUGUAGGCGGUUUGUCGCGUCUGCUGUGAAAUUUCGGGGCUCAACCCCGAACUUGCAGUGGGUACGGGCAGACUAGAGUGUGGUAGGGGAGACUGGAAUUCCUGGUGUAGCGGUGAAAUGCGCAGAUAUCAGGAGGAACACCGAUGGCAAAGGCAGGUCUCUGGGCCACUACUGACGCUGAGAAGCGAAAGCAUGGGGAGCGAACAGG
RNAcentral lists this ribosomal RNA (253 nucleotides) under uncultured bacterium. RNAcentral's name for it is "partial 16S ribosomal RNA". It matches the Rfam family "Bacterial small subunit ribosomal RNA", at positions 524 to 776 of the family's 1533-position model. The record is from RNAcentral.